UCCGGUUUGACACCGGCAGUCUCGCUAGAGUACUCACCAUUACGCGUGAGCAACUAACGACAGGGGUUGCGCUCGUUAAGGGACUUAACCCGACACUUCACAGCACGAGCUGACGACAGCCAUGCAGCACCUGUGCGGGCUCCCGAAGGAGCGCCGUGUUUCCACGGUUUCACCCCGCAUGUCAAGCCCUAGUAAGGUUCUUCGCGUUGCAUCGAAUUAAAGAACAUGCUCCGCUGCUUGUGCGGGCCCCCGUCAAUUCCUUUGAGUUUUAGCCUUGCGGCCGUACUCCCCAGGCGGGACACUUAUCGCGUUGGCUUCGGCACGGACAGAUUCGACUCCGCCCACACCUAGUGUCCAUCGUUUACGGCGUGGACUAC
RNAcentral lists this unclassified non-coding RNA (377 nucleotides) under uncultured bacterium. RNAcentral describes it as "contains 16S-23S intergenic spacer region". The record is from RNAcentral.